Molecule: long non-coding RNA, 398 nt
Organism: Leptidea sinapis
Lineage: Eukaryota; Metazoa; Arthropoda; Insecta; Lepidoptera; Pieridae
Exons: 3
Source: RefSeq, a predicted model, not a curated record
GUGACACACAAUAUAUUCUUGAUAAUGUAAUAUGUAUUCAUAGGCACAUAGACACACCAGGAACAGACAUAAGCUUAUAAUGCCUAUUACUCGGUGGUUGAAGAGUUGGACUUCCUAAAGAGAUGCAACGUUUACGCAAUAAAGGACCAUAUUCAGAGAGGAUGUGUAACGGGGUUUUAUCUGCAUUAUAACAUAAUAUCUGAGGCCUACGAUUGAGAGGUGUUUGUUCAAUCUGUAGUGCCCGUUAGUGUCUUGGUUAGAAUGCAUUAGAGAUUUUAGUGGAAUUGUGGAGCUACUCACCAAUUGUCAUACUUAGGCAGCGGCUUGACAGUUCCCUGUUGCAGCAUGAUCUGCAGUAGGGCACUGGCUUCCAGCUCUGAACCGUCGCACACGUGGAC